UACGAAGGGGGCUAGCGUUGUUCGGAUUUACUGGGCGUAAAGCGCGCGUAGGCGGAUUUUUAAGUCAGGGGUGAAAUCCCGGGGCUCAACCUCGGAACUGCCCUUGAUACUGGGAAUCUCGAGUUCGGGAGAGGUGAGUGGAACUGCGAGUGUAGAGGUGAAAUUCGUAGAUAUUCGCAAGAACACCAGUGGCGAAGGCGGCUCACUGGCCCGAUACUGACGCUGAGGCGCGAAAGCGUGGGGAGCAAACAGG
Molecule: ribosomal RNA, 253 nt
Filed under: uncultured Methylocystis sp.
Lineage: Bacteria; Pseudomonadati; Pseudomonadota; Alphaproteobacteria; Hyphomicrobiales; Methylocystaceae
Description: partial 16S ribosomal RNA
Rfam family: Bacterial small subunit ribosomal RNA
Source: RNAcentral